UGCCUUGGGGCAAUCAUCUAUGGAUCAUGGAUGGGCAAAUAUGAGAGUUGAGCCAGACCACUCGAUCUCAUCUCUAUCAUACACUGUGCUCCUCCUGAUCUGAGACCUGCUUGGGAUAUCCUCCUACGGCAAUAGAAAUUUCAUCCUAUGAUAUCGUCUCUCAUCAUCUCGAGUCUCGCAUCUCAUGCCUGAUCCACUUC
Molecule: long non-coding RNA, 200 nt
Filed under: Elaeis guineensis (African oil palm)
Lineage: Eukaryota; Viridiplantae; Streptophyta; Magnoliopsida; Arecales; Arecaceae
Description: long non-coding RNA (EGUI_LNC062131)
Source: RNAcentral